RNAcentral lists this ribosomal RNA (223 nucleotides) under Boletus edulis. RNAcentral describes it as "partial 28S ribosomal RNA". It matches the Rfam family "Eukaryotic large subunit ribosomal RNA", at positions 38 to 251 of the family's 3401-position model. Lineage: Eukaryota; Fungi; Basidiomycota; Agaricomycetes; Boletales; Boletaceae. The record is from RNAcentral.
GCAUAUCAAUAAGCGGAGGAAAAGAAACUAACAAGGAUUCCCCUAGUAACUGCGAGUGAAGCGGGAAAAGCUCAAAUUUUGAAUCUGGCGGUCUUUGCAGGCCGUCCGAGUUGUAAUCUAGAGAAGCGUCUUCCGCGCCGGCCUGUGUACAAGUCUCCUGGAAGGGAGCGUCAUAGAGGGUGAGAAUCCCGUCUCUGACACGGACCACCGGUGCUAUGUGAUG